This 329-nucleotide ribosomal RNA is filed under the name uncultured eukaryote. Its description in RNAcentral is "partial 18S ribosomal RNA". It matches the Rfam family "Eukaryotic small subunit ribosomal RNA", at positions 1470 to 1796 of the family's 1831-position model. The record is from RNAcentral.
CCCUUAGAUGUUCUGGGCCGCACGCGCGCUACACUGAUGCAUUCAACGAGUCUAAAACCUGCUCUGAUAGGGGUGGGUAAUCUUUUGAAUGUGCAUCGUGAUUGGGAUAGAUGAUUGCAAUUUUUCAUCUUCAACGAGGAAUGCCUAGUAAACGCAAGUCAUCAGCUUGCAUUGAUUACGUCCCUGCCCUUUGUACACACCGCCCGUCGCUCCUACCGAUUGAAUGAUCCGAUGAAUAUCAUGGAUUGAGGAUUAUAGCAGGUUCGCCUGUCUUGAUCUUCGAGAAGUGAAGUAAAUCUUAUCAUUUAGAGGAAGGAGAAGUCGGAACA